AAACUCACUUCCUUGACAACUUCCUCGAAGCGCAAGAAGUAUGAAUGCCCUGACUUCUGCAGAGGCCAUGUCACCGUAAAUGCAGACAUCGGAUUGACCAUUCAGCGCCUUUCACUGGCUGACACUUUUGCAUGACCAUAACUGACUGACAAAAUGUCAUGAUUGCCACAGCCCUAGCCACGACACGUCCGGAAAUCGCAGGACAGUGGAGGGGUCUAGCAGAAAUGUCGCAGACUUCCGGAUGACAAGAUUAUGCAGACAAUUCGCAUAUUUAACAGUCUUCCAACGACCUUCAACCACCCCACCACCACCAACUGAAGGCCCAUCAUCGGAUCCCCGUUCUCCCAGUGGGUUCCGAUACCAGCUGCCCAGGGCAACCUGUCAUCAGCAUCUGGCUCUGAGGAGCAUUCCUCGGAGACGAGGCCUACCCCAAACUAUUCAAUAAAAUUCCAUAUUGUA
Long non-coding RNA from Coregonus clupeaformis (lake whitefish), 459 nucleotides. RefSeq lists it as uncharacterized. Lineage: Eukaryota; Metazoa; Chordata; Actinopteri; Salmoniformes; Salmonidae. The transcript has 2 exons. The record is from RefSeq and is a predicted model, not a curated record.